AUGUCUACGGCAACACCGCUCUUCAUGAUGUUAAUCAUUAAGGAUGUCUACGGCAACACCGCUCUUCAUGAUGUUAAUCAUUAAGGAUGUCUACGGCAACACCGCUCUUCAUGAUGUUAAUCAUUAAGGAUGUCUACGGCAACACCGCUCUUCAUGAUGUUAAUCAUUAAGGAUGUCUACGGCAACACCGCUCUUCAUGAUGUUAAUCAUUAAGGAUGUCUACGGCAACACCGCUCUUCAUGAUGUUAAUCAUUAAGGAUGUCUACGGCAACACCGCUCUUCAUGAUGUUAAACAUUAAGGAUGUCUACGGCAACACCGCUCUUCAUGAUGUUAAACAUUAAGGAUGUCUACGGCAACACCGCUCUUCAUGAUGUUAAUCAUUAAGGAUGUCUACGGCAACACCGCUCUUCAUGAUGUUAAACAUUAAGGAUGUCUACGGCAACACUGCUCUUCAUGAUGUUAAACAUUAAGGAUGUCUACGGCAACACUGCUCUUCAUGAUGUUAAACAUUAAGGAUGUCUACGGCAACACUGCUCUUCAUGAUAUUAAUCAUUAAGGAUGUCUACGGCAACACUGCUCUUCAUGAUCAUUAAGGAUGUCUACGGCAACACUGCUCUUCAUGAUGUUAAACAUUAAGGAUGUCUACGGCAACACUGCUCUUCAUGAUGUUAAUCAUUAAGGAUGUCUACGGCAACACUGCUCUUCAUGAUGUUAAACAUUAAGGAUGACUACGGCAACACUGCUCUUCAUGAUAUUAAUCAUUAAGGAUGUCUACGGCAACACUGCUCUUCAUGAUGUUAAACAUUAAGGAUGUCUACGGCAACACUGCUCUUCUUGAUGUUAAUCAUUAAGGAUGUCUACGACAACACUGCUCUUCAUGAUGAUGUGUAUAAUAAGGGGACUUCACUGGCAGGAAAACUGCUUUCCCACCAUGCAAAUAUUGAAGCACUAAACAAGGAGGGAAAUACACCACUUUUGCUUGCUAUAAUUUGUAAGAGACAGCAAAUGGUGGAAUUUUUAGUAAAGAACCAGUAGAGACGGGGUUUCACCGUGUUCGCCAGGAUGGUCUCGAUCUACUGAACUUGUAAUCCGCCCGCCUCGGCCUCCCAAAGUGCUGGGAUUACAGGCGUGAGCCACCGCGCAUGGCUUGUGAUGCCUUUACUGACUCAGAUCCCUCACUCUUCGUGUGACUCACACGCAAAGCUCACAGCCACUGUGUUUUUUAGUUCCUGUACAUAUGUUCAGCCAUUGUUCCCAGCACGCUGCUCCGCCAGCAAGGCCUCCUGGCUUUAUCCACACACAGAGUAAGUAAAGCGACCCCUGCUGUAACACUAAAAACCUUAUUUCUUGCCCACCUCUUAGCUAGGCUGAGCCUAGACCCUGAUGGUAAGUUAUCCUUUGAGACCUGUGUUCAUCUUUUCUCUAGCAAAUUCAGUUGGGCUUGUUCUCAGCAGUCAGGGACGUUCAAAUAAUGUUGCAGGAAGAGAUCAGAGCUCCCUUUCCCUUUUGUUAUCACAUCUGUACCUUGAGGUUUUUUUCUGUCCGGUGUGGCAGCUUUUGUUAGAUAGCAGAAGGCUCCACAUUAUCCUUCAAUAGAGUCGUGGGCACCAACUUGCAGUUGGCCCCUCAAGUAAUGUGUUUCCAUAAUAAUGAAAAUCUCUCAGGCUACUUGCAUCUCUACUUCAAGUUUUUAAAAUAUUUUAAAAUUCUACCUCACAGGAAGUCAUUCAAUAGAAUUCUCUGUAUCUAAAGUAGGUAAUUUGGAUUUAACAGAGCUAAGCUCAUCCAUGACUCAUGAGUGUCCAUGUAUAAAACAGGGCUUUAUACUUGUUUCAGCAGCACAUAUUCUAAGACUGGAUCAAUACAGAGCAGAUAAGCAUGGCUGCUGCCUAAGGAUGGCACACAGAUUCAGAAAGCAUUCCACAUUUUGCACAGUCCCAAGAAGGUCAUUUGACUAUUUGUUAACUAGCUCCAAGGAAACAGUGCAAGUCAGACCAAAACAGGAGACAUCUAAUAUUGAAAUUGUUGUUACUAUUAUUAUAAAAGUAUUCACGUAAGGUGAUCUGUGAAAUGAGAACAGCGCUGAGUAUGGGAUGUUACAUGCAAAUAUGUUGUUAGUCCAAGACUUGGAAAUGAGGAAACGUUAACUUGCAUCUCUUUCAUGGAACCAAAAAACAAGACAAGCCAGGUUUUGUCUUGUAUGUCAGUUGGAGAGAACCAAGAAGAUGCGGCCUCUAACACAGACCUGCUGGCUCUGAGUUUGAGGAAGUAGAGAAGGAAUGGUAGUUGUCCCAGCCAGGUUUUGACAUUUAUGAGUUUUCUGCCCUUGGUAUGAUUGAUGAGCUCAGGAAUAGUGAACAAUUAGGUAAUCUAUUUUAAUGAGAUAAUAAUAUAUUUAUAUAUAAAUUUAGUUACAAGUUAUGAAUUAGCUAAAAUGCCCUGAACUACAAGCCACAAUGAAUAGAACUGAUAACCAAAAUUAGCACUUAGUAACAUUUUCUGAAAACUGUGACAUUCAAAUAUUAG
Macaca mulatta (Rhesus monkey) is the source of this 2527-nucleotide non-coding RNA. NCBI's taxonomy places the organism in Eukaryota, Metazoa, Chordata, Mammalia, Primates, Cercopithecidae. The record is from RefSeq and is a predicted model, not a curated record.